Non-coding RNA from Pelobates cultripes (western spadefoot toad), 745 nucleotides. The record is from the annotation of a GenBank genome assembly. NCBI's taxonomy places the organism in Eukaryota, Metazoa, Chordata, Amphibia, Anura, Pelobatidae.
UUUUUUCAAGGUCAUUUAUAAACAUGUUAAAUAGAAGGGGUCCCAAAACAUAACCCUGAGGGACACCACUUGCCACCUCUGUCCAGCUUGAAAAUUUACCAUUAAAUGCAACUCUCUGUACUCGAUUUUUAAGCCAAUGUUCUACCAAAGAACAAGAAUUUUCAUAGAGACUGAUUUCUUUAAGUUUGAACACUAAUCUAUUGUGUGGAACUGUAUCAAAUACCUUGGCAAAAUCCAGAUAGAUCACAUAUACUGUCAACUUGCUAAUCUAAAUAGCUAUGAAAGGGAUUGCUAUGUGGAAGCUAGUAAAGUUGGAGCUCGAGUAAAGUCACCAGACAUAGCCAGUCGUAGUCUUUUAGGGGUGCAAUAUGUUAAUUAACGGCAUCUAGUGCACUAACAGGUGCUCUGAAGCCAGCAAUACCCCUAUACCAUGGGGCAACGGGGAGGCGGUUAUAUCGCCCCGAGCAUUGGAAGCCAUACUUGUGUCUUAUGGAUACAAGGUAGAGUGGGUCCUAUUGACAUAGAAAACUGAGGUAAACAAAGAUAACGAUAACUUAUGUAAGAUAGAAAACCAUAAGAAAAAAAAUACUAAGCAAACAUGGGAAUUACAGGUGGUGAAUCGAGCUGUGGAGCCUCUCUCAUCUCUGGGCAAAAAGAUAGGUAUACUAUCAACAUUCCAUGAGAGGGCAGCUAGUCCCGGAGUGGCUAUGUUGUGUUAACUUGCUGAGAGAUGUUUUGAUUGCAG